RNAcentral lists this ribosomal RNA (231 nucleotides) under uncultured bacterium. RNAcentral's name for it is "partial 16S ribosomal RNA". It matches the Rfam family "Bacterial small subunit ribosomal RNA", at positions 524 to 753 of the family's 1533-position model. The record is from RNAcentral.
UACGUAGGGUGCAAGCGUUAAUCGGAAUUACUGGGCGUAAAGCGUGCGCAGGCGGCUUUGCAAGACAGAUGUGAAAUCCCCGGGCUCAACCUGGGAACUGCAUUUGUGACUGCAUGGCUGGAGUGCGGCAGAGGGGGGAUGGAAUUCCGCGUGUAGCAGUGAAAAUGCGUAGAUAUGCGGAGGAACACCGAUGGCGAAGGCAAUCCCCCUGGGCCUGCACUGACUCAUGCA